Molecule: unclassified non-coding RNA, 2029 nt
Filed under: Gigantopelta aegis
Lineage: Eukaryota; Metazoa; Mollusca; Gastropoda; Neomphalida; Peltospiridae
Description: poly(A)-specific ribonuclease PARN-like, transcript variant X5
Source: RNAcentral
GGAGGGAAAGAUGGAUGUCACGAAAAAUAACUUUGCAGCUGUGUUCAGUGAUAUUACAAAAGCAAUAGAAGAUGCAGACUUCUUAGCCAUUGAUGGUGAAUUUACAGGUCUAGAUACUCCCCAAGUUGGACAUGUUACCUUCUAUGACACACCAGAAGAACGCUACCAGAAACUGAGAAAGGGUUCUACAGAUUUUCUUCUGAUUCAGUUUGGAUUGGCUGCCUUUACAUAUGAUGAUGAAACAAAAUCUCACACAGCUAAAUUAUUUAACUUCUACGUUUUCCCGCGACCAUACACAAGACAAGCUCCAGAUCGAAGGUUUUUAUGUCAGAGUUCCAGUAUUGACUUUUUGGCCUCUCAGGGCUUUGACUUCAACAAGCUUUUCAGAGAUGGAAUACCAUAUUUAACACUGGCCGAUGAAACCCAGCUGAGGGAAACAAUUCGAAGCAAACACAAGGACUACAGCCAGUUUUCAUCUCCUGCAUUCAUGAGCCCAUUUGGGGCUGACCCAGGCCCCAGCAAGGGUCCGGUUUGUGUUCCAGAUGAGCAUAAAGAGUUUAUUGCAGACGUUGGUAACAAAGUUGCUAAGUUUUUGGAGCAGGAUGCAGAAGACACACUACAGCUGCCACCAUGUGGCGGGUUCCCCAGGAAGCUCAUCUACCAGACCAUCAGACUGAAAUUUUCUUCCUCCCUCCAUUUGGAGACCAAGAGUGGAGAAAAGAAAGAAAGAUAUAUAGUCAUCACAAAGAUCAAAGGUGAAGAUGACAUGAAAGCCAAGGAACAGGCCAAGCAGAAUGCUGAGCUGAAUGAACUUGAUGAUGCUGUUGGUUUCUGCAAGGUCACAAGGCUGUUGUCUCAGUCGGGCAAGCUCAUCGUGGGCCACAACAUGUUGCUUGAUGUGCUGCACCUCAUCAAUCAGUUCUGCAUCCACUUGCCCAAGGAAUACGAAGAGUUUAAAUCCCUCACCCGGUGUGUCUUUCCAAGGUUACUUGAUACGAAGCUGAUGGCAAGCACAAACCCAUUAAAGAAUCAUAUUCAUAACUCAACACUGGGUGACUUGAAGAAGAUCCUGGAAUAUAGCCCAUUUACAAAGCCCAAGGUUGAUCUCCCAGAAGAGUUUUCUCGGUACAGUGGUAAUGAACAUCUGCAUGAAGCGGGAUACGAUGCUUAUAUCACCGGUCUCUGUUUCAUCUCCAUGUCUAACUACUUAGGAUCUUGUCAGAAUCCACCAAAGGAAUACAUUCCUCCAAAAUCUCAGCUGAUCGAGCCUUUCAUCAACAAAUUGUUUCUGAUGCGUGUUUCCGACAUUCCCUAUAUAAAUCUGAGUGGAGCUGAUUUACAAAUGAGUCGAGAACAUGUGUUUCACAUUACAUUUCCAAAGGAGUGGAAGACCUCAGACAUUCAUGAAUUAUUUUCACCUUAUGGAAACAUCCAGAUCUCCUGGUUAGAUGACAUAUCUGCCUUUGUUUCCCUCUACAAGAAGGAUAAUGCUCAAGCCGCCCUGAAAGGUUUGUCAGCAAAGAAUUCUGUUUACAGAGUGGUCACUUACGAGGCAUACAAGAAGGAGAUCUCACCGAAACGAGACGUCCCUGUGAGCAGGAAGCGGUCAUCGGAAGAUGUCGACAUUGACAUGGCGAACAAGAAGAGAAAGUCCCUGAAUGUUCAAGCUGCCCCAUUUGUUUCAAGAUUAAAACCUGCAAUACUUGAAGACAAAAAACAAGAAAAGAAUGGAAACAACAGUUCAGGUCGUCAUAGCGACAAGAAGGCACAAGGUGAUGCAAACGAUGACCAAGGAGAUAAUAAAAUGGAAACUGGGGAAAAACUCUUUGAUGAAUCCGAAAACUGGGAUUGACCAAGCAAGAGAUUCUUGAAAUAAAUACAUCAAGUGUUUUGGGGCCUUUUUCCAAGGAACAUGUCAACGGAACUACAAUUUUCGAUGCAUUUAAUGAAGAAUAGCUAGUGCACCACGACUGGUACAUCAAAUGCCGUGGUAUGUGAUAUCCUGUCUAUGGGAUGGUGCAUAUAAAAG